UUCGUAGGCGGUUUUGUUAGUCUGAUGUGAAAUCUCAGGGCUUAACCCUGAAACUGCAUUGGAUACUGCAGAACUAGAGUACUGGAGAGGUAAGCGGAAUUCCUGGUGUAGCGGUGGAAUGCGUAGAUAUCAGGAGGAACACCGAUGGCGAAAGCAGCUUACUGGACAGUUACUGACGCUCAGGAACGAAAGCUAGGGGAGCAAACA
Molecule: ribosomal RNA, 207 nt
Filed under: uncultured bacterium
Lineage: Bacteria
Description: partial 16S ribosomal RNA
Rfam family: Bacterial small subunit ribosomal RNA
Source: RNAcentral